UACAGAGGGUGCUAGCGUUGUUCGGAAUCAUUGGGCGUAAAGCGCGUGUAGGCGGUCCGGUAAGUCCGCUGUGAAAGUCGGGGGCUCAACCCUCGAAUGCCGGUGGAUACUGUCGGGCUAGAGUGCGGAAGAGGCGAGUGGAAUUCCUGGUGUAGCGGUGAAAUGCGCAGAUAUCAGGAGGAACACCAAUUGCGAAGGCAGCUCGCUGGGACGUUACUGACGCUGAGGCGCGAAAGCGUGGGGAGCAAACAGG
Molecule: ribosomal RNA, 253 nt
Filed under: uncultured bacterium
Lineage: Bacteria
Description: partial 16S ribosomal RNA
Rfam family: Bacterial small subunit ribosomal RNA
Source: RNAcentral